RNAcentral lists this ribosomal RNA (468 nucleotides) under uncultured bacterium. RNAcentral's name for it is "partial 16S ribosomal RNA". It matches the Rfam family "Bacterial small subunit ribosomal RNA", at positions 28 to 507 of the family's 1533-position model. The record is from RNAcentral.
GACGAACGCUGGCGGCGUGCUUAACACAUGCAAGUCGAACGGCAACGCCCUGCUUUUUUGGUGUGCUCGAGUGGCGAACGGGUGAGUAACACGUGAGUAACCUGCCCUUGACUUUGGGAUAACUUCACGAAACUGGGGCUACUACCGUAUAGCAUCUCCUGUUCCAUGGUGGGCGUUGGAACGUUUCGGCGGUUGGGGAUGGACUCGCGGCUUAUCAGCUUGCUGGUGGGGUAGUGGCUUACCAAGGCUUUGACGGGUAGCCGGCCUGAGAGGGUGACCGGCCACAUUGGGACUGAGAUACGGGCCAGACUCCUAAGGGAGGCAGAAGUGGGGAAUAUUGAACAAUGGGCGGAAGCCUGAUGCAGAAACGCCGCGUGCGGGAUGACGGCCUUCGGGUUGUAAACCGCUUUCGCCUGUGACGAAGCGUGAGUGACGGUAAUGGGUAAAGAAGAACCGGCUAACUACGUG